This 433-nucleotide ribosomal RNA is filed under the name uncultured bacterium. Its description in RNAcentral is "partial 16S ribosomal RNA". It matches the Rfam family "Bacterial small subunit ribosomal RNA", at positions 29 to 507 of the family's 1533-position model. The record is from RNAcentral.
AACGAACGCUGGCGGCAUGCCUAACACAUGCCAGUCGAACGAGACCUUCGGGUCUAGUGGCGCAAGGGUGCGUAACGCGUGUUAACCUGCCCUUAGGUUCGGAAUAACUCCCCGAAAGGGGUGCUAAUACCGGAUAAUGUCUUCGGACCAAAGAUUUAUCGCCUUUGGAUGGGCCCGCGUUGGAUUAGCUAGUUGGUAGGGUAAAAGCCUACCAAGGCGACGAUCCAUAGCUGGUCUGAGAGGAUGAUCAGCCACACUGGGACUGAGACACGGACCAGACUCCUACGGGAGGAAGCAGUGGGGAAUAUUGGACAAUGGGCGAAAGCCUGAUCCAGCAAGGCCGCGUGAGUGAUGAAGGCCUUAGGGUUGUAAAGCUCUUUUACACGGGAUGAUAAUGACAGUACCGGGAGAAUAAGCGCCGGCUAACUCCGUG